UUAAGCGACUAAGCGUACACGGUGGAUGCCCUGGCAGUCAGAGGCGAUGAAGGGCGUGCUAAUCUGCGAUAAGCGCCGGUAAGGUGAUAUGAACCGUUAUAACCGGCGAUACCCGAAUGGGGAAACCCAGUGUGAUUCGUCACACUAUCAUUAACUGAAUCCAUAGGUUAAUGAGGCGAACCGGGGGAACUGAAACAUCUAAGUACCCCGAGGAAAAGAAAUCAACCGAGAUUCCCCCAGUAGCGGCGAGCGAACGGGGAGGAGCCCAGAGCCUGAAUCAGCAUGUGUGUUAGUGGAAGCGUCUGGAAAGGCGCGCGAUACAGGGUGACAGCCCCGUACACAAAAGCGCAUGUGCUGUGAGCUCGAUGAGUAGGGCGGGACACGUGGUAUCCUGUCUGAAUAUGGGGGGACCAUCCUCCAAGGCUAAAUACUCCUGACUGACCGAUAGUGAACCAGUACCGUGAGGGAAAGGCGAAAAGAACCCCGGCGAGGGGAGUGAAAAAGAACCUGAAACCGUGUACGUACAAGCAGUGGGAGCACAGGUUUACCUGUGUGACUGCGUACCUUUUGUAUAAUGGGUCAGCGACUUAUAUUCUGUAGCAAGGUUAACCGUAUAGGGGAGCCGGAGGGAAACCGAGUCUUAACCGGGCGUUAAGUUGCAGGGUAUAGACCCGAAACCCGGUGAUCUAGCCAUGGGCAGGUUGAAGGUUGGGUAACACUAACUGGAGGACCGAACCGACUAAUGUUGAAAAAUUAGCGGAUGACCUGUGGCUGGGGGUGAAAGGCCAAUCAAACCGGGAGAUAGCUGGUUCUCCCCGAAAGCUAUUUAGGUAGCGCCUCGUGAAUUCAUCUCCGGGGGUAGAGCACUGUUUCGGCUAGGGGGCCAUCCCGGCUUACCAACCCGAUGCAAACUGCGAAUACCGGAGAAUGUUAUCACGGGAGACACACGGCGGGUGCUAACGUCCGUCGUGAAGAGGGAAACAACCCAGACCGCCAGCUAAGGUCCCAAAGUCAUGGUUAAGUGGGAAACGAUGUGGGAAGGCCCAGACAGCCAGGAUGUUGGCUUAGAAGCAGCCAUCAUUUAAAGAAAGCGUAAUAGCUCACUGGUCGAGUCGGCCUGCGCGGAAGAUGUAACGGGGCUAAACCAUGCACCGAAGCUGCGGCAGCGAACGUAUCACCCAAGACAACUUUACGGAGUUGACGAUUGACGGAGCGAAGCGACGUCAAAGCGUUCAUUAAAGUCGAGUUGGCUUAGGGAUACGUUCGUUGGGUAGGGGAGCGUUCUGUAAGCCUGUGAAGGUGUGUCGUGAGGCAUGCUGGAGGUAUCAGAAGUGCGAAUGCUGACAUAAGUAACGAUAAAGCGGGUGAAAAGCCCGCUCGCCGGAAGACCAAGGGUUCCUGUCCAACGUUAAUCGGGGCAGGGUGAGUCGACCCCUAAGGCGAGGCCGAAAGGCGUAGUCGAUGGGAAACGGGUUAAUAUUCCCGUACUUGGUGUUACUGCGAAGGGGGGACGGAGAAGGCUAUGUUGGCCGGGCGACGGUUGUCCCGGUUUAAGCGUGUAGGUGUGUGUUCCAGGUAAAUCCGGUUCACUUUAACACUGAGGCGUGACGACGAGGCACUACGGUGCUGAAGCAACAAAUGCCCUGCUUCCAGGAAAAGCCUCUAAGCAUCAGGUAACAUCAAAUCGUACCCCAAACCGACACAGGUGGUCAGGUAGAGAAUACCAAGGCGCUUGAGAGAACUCGGGUGAAGGAACUAGGCAAAAUGGUGCCGUAACUUCGGGAGAAGGCACGCUGACACGUAGGUGAAGUGAUUUACUCAUGGAGCUGAAGUCAGUCGAAGAUACCAGCUGGCUGCAACUGUUUAUUAAAAACACAGCACUGUGCAAACACGAAAGUGGACGUAUACGGUGUGACGCCUGCCCGGUGCCGGAAGGUUAAUUGAUGGGGUCAGCGCAAGCGAAGCUCCUGAUCGAAGCCCCGGUAAACGGCGGCCGUAACUAUAACGGUCCUAAGGUAGCGAAAUUCCUUGUCGGGUAAGUUCCGACCUGCACGAAUGGCGUAAUGAUGGCCAGGCUGUCUCCACCCGAGACUCAGUGAAAUUGAACUCGCUGUGAAGAUGCAGUGUACCCGCGGCAAGACGGAAAGACCCCGUGAACCUUUACUAUAGCUUGACACUGAACAUUGAGCCUUGAUGUGUAGGAUAGGUGGGAGGCUUUGAAGUGUGGACGCCAGUCUGCAUGGAGCCGACCUUGAAAUACCACCCUUUAAUGUUUGAUGUUCUAACGUGGACCCGUAAUCCGGGUUGCGGACAGUGUCUGGUGGGUAGUUUGACUGGGGCGGUCUCCUCCUAAAGAGUAACGGAGGAGCACGAAGGUUGGCUAAUCCUGGUCGGACAUCAGGAGGUUAGUGCAAUGGCAUAAGCCAGCUUGACUGCGAGCGUGACGGCGCGAGCAGGUGCGAAAGCAGGUCAUAGUGAUCCGGUGGUUCUGAAUGGAAGGGCCAUCGCUCAACGGAUAAAAGGUACUCCGGGGAUAACAGGCUGAUACCGCCCAAGAGUUCAUAUCGACGGCGGUGUUUGGCACCUCGAUGUCGGCUCAUCACAUCCUGGGGCUGAAGUAGGUCCCAAGGGUAUGGCUGUUCGCCAUUUAAAGUGGUACGCGAGCUGGGUUUAGAACGUCGUGAGACAGUUCGGUCCCUAUCUGCCGUGGGCGCUGGAGAACUGAGGGGGGCUGCUCCUAGUACGAGAGGACCGGAGUGGACGCAUCACUGGUGUUCGGGUUGUCAUGCCAAUGGCACUGCCCGGUAGCUAAAUGCGGAAGAGAUAAGUGCUGAAAGCAUCUAAGCACGAAACUUGCCCCGAGAUGAGUUCUCCCUGAGACUUAGAGUCUCCUGAAGGAACGUUGAAGACGACGACGUUGAUAGGCCGGGUGUGUAAGCGCAGCGAUGCGUUGAGCUAACCGGUACUAAUGAACCGUGAGGCUUAACCUU
RNAcentral lists this ribosomal RNA (2990 nucleotides) under Salmonella enterica. RNAcentral's name for it is "bacterial LSU rRNA". It matches the Rfam family "Bacterial large subunit ribosomal RNA". The record is from RNAcentral. Lineage: Bacteria; Pseudomonadati; Pseudomonadota; Gammaproteobacteria; Enterobacterales; Enterobacteriaceae.